This 253-nucleotide unclassified non-coding RNA is filed under the name uncultured bacterium. RNAcentral describes it as "contains 16S-23S intergenic spacer region". It matches the Rfam family "Bacterial small subunit ribosomal RNA", at positions 524 to 776 of the family's 1533-position model. The record is from RNAcentral.
GACGUAGGGGACGAGCGUUGCCCGGAAUUACUGGGCGUAAAGGGUGUGUAGGUGGCGGAGUAUGUCCCGUGUGAAAGCGCAGAGCUUAACUCUGCGUCGUCGCGGGAAACUGCUUCGCUAGAGGGCAGUAGAGGUGGGUGGAAUUCCCGGAGAAGCGGUGACAUGCGUAGAUCUCGGGAGGAACACCGGUGGCGAAGGCGGCCCACUGGGCUGACCCUGACACUGAGGCACGAAAGCGUGGGGAGCAAACCGA